Molecule: long non-coding RNA, 221 nt
Filed under: Elaeis guineensis (African oil palm)
Lineage: Eukaryota; Viridiplantae; Streptophyta; Magnoliopsida; Arecales; Arecaceae
Description: long non-coding RNA (EGUI_LNC008281)
Source: RNAcentral
AGGGGGUCGAGCUCAUCAGAAAGCCGACGUCAUCAGAUGGCUAACCUCAUCAAAAUGCCGACCUCUAACACAUGGCAAUAUCUGAAGACAUCAGCCUCAUACCAAUUUCUGACGUGCUCAAUUUGUAUUAGCGGAACAUCAGUUUUAGCCGAUCUAUAGGAGAAAUAUCAUCAUAUCAUAUCAACUGAUCUAAAGAUUUACCAUCACUGCUUUAAGCCAGA